GAUUAACUACACCAAUGUUCUCGAUGCCAAUUUCGACACUUUGAUAUCAGCUCUGAAACGGAUUGGGUUGGGGAAAAUGGAUGUUAUGAUCGGUGAAAUUGGGUGGCCAACAGAUGGAGAUAUCAAUGCCAAUGUGUUGCUUGCUAAAAGAUUCUACCAAGGUCUGUUCAAACAACUUGCCGUCGACCAAGGCACACCUCUCCGACCGAACAAGUAUAUAGAGACCUAUUUAUUCGGCUUAAUAGAUGAAAAUAAAAAGAGUAUAGCACCUGGAAACUUCGAACGACAUUGGGGGAUAUUCACUUAUGAUGGGCAGCCAAAGUUUCAAAUGGAUAUAUCCGGUGAAGGUCUGAACACGACUCUAAUCGGAGCCAAGGAAGUCAAAUACUUGCGUAACAUGUGGUGUGUGUUGAAUCCUAAAGUUAAAUAUCAAAUUGAAAAUCAGGGAGUCAAUAAAUUAGGAGACAACAUUAAAUACGCAUGUCAGACCUCCGACUGCACUGCACUUGGUUAUGGCUCGAGUUGUCACGGUAUCGAUGUGGAAGGGAAUGCUUCUUAUGCUUUCAAUAUGUAUUUUCAAGUGCACAAUCAAGCAGAGAAGAGUUG
This 606-nucleotide long non-coding RNA is filed under the name Zostera marina. Its description in RNAcentral is "long non-coding RNA (ZMAR_LNC002732)". Lineage: Eukaryota; Viridiplantae; Streptophyta; Magnoliopsida; Alismatales; Zosteraceae. The record is from RNAcentral.